CCUACGGGAGGCAGCAGUGGGGAAUAUUGCACAAUGGGCGAAAGCCUGAUGCAGCGACGCCGCGUGAGUGAAGAAGUACCUCGGUAUUGUAAGCUUCAUUUGUAGGGAAGUAAAAGACGGUACGUGUCUAAGUUUCUAUGUCUAACUACGUUCCAGCAGCCGCGGUUAUACGUAGGCGGCCAGCGUUAUACGGAUUUACCGGGUGUAAAGGGAGCGUAGUCGGUAGCGGAAGUCAGGAGUGAAAUCUCAGGGCUUAACCAUGGAACUGCCUUGGAAACUGUGCAGUUAGAGUGCAGGAGAGGUAAGCGGAAUUCGUGGUGUAGCGGUGAAAUGCGUAGAUAUUAGGAAGAACACCAGUGGCGAAGGCGGCUUACUGGACUGUAACUGACGUUGAGGCUCGAAAGCGUGGGUAGCAAACAGGAUUAGAUACCCUUGUAGUC
RNAcentral lists this ribosomal RNA (440 nucleotides) under uncultured bacterium. RNAcentral describes it as "partial 16S ribosomal RNA". It matches the Rfam family "Bacterial small subunit ribosomal RNA", at positions 338 to 795 of the family's 1533-position model. The record is from RNAcentral.